Molecule: non-coding RNA, 94 nt
Organism: Chryseobacterium sp.
Lineage: Bacteria; Pseudomonadati; Bacteroidota; Flavobacteriia; Flavobacteriales; Weeksellaceae
Source: Rfam
CCCUAGCCCCGAUUGGCGCGACAUCCUUUUUGGUUGCGGCCGGAGCAAAGCGGAGGCCGUAACCAAAAAGAUACAGCAGAAAGCGGGAAAUUGC